Long non-coding RNA from Peromyscus californicus insignis, 6665 nucleotides. RefSeq lists it as uncharacterized. NCBI's taxonomy places the organism in Eukaryota, Metazoa, Chordata, Mammalia, Rodentia, Cricetidae. The transcript has 3 exons. The record is from RefSeq and is a predicted model, not a curated record.
AAGGGCUCAGAGGUCAGAGGUCAGAAGAUUAACAUUCAUAUAGGGUUCCAUCAAUAUCUGCCCAAGGGUUUUUUUUUUUUUUUCCUGAUUGCCCAUUUACCAGAGUAAUGCAAGAGUUGAAAAUGAUGUGUCUUAACAGCUAUGAAUUAGGCCGGGGCAGUCAGUGAAUCAGAGAGAGCUUUAUACAGUAGAAAAACAGUUUGGGUUUCAGUGGAAAGCGGUGACUCACCUCUGGUUCAACCUCUUGGGCUACCAGCUUCUAGACUUACUAACGGCCCGCCAGUGCUUCCCAGCACUUUAUAAAGUGCAGGUAACUGGUAGACCUUCCUGUCCCAUCCCCGAUGGUAGUGAGAAUCUACUUUGUUUCCAUCUGGCGGUUCUUCCCAAUGUCCCGUGACUCCAUAUAAACUUGUGCCGAUUGUUCUUCUGAAUGGCCUUUAAAACCUGUGUCUGGUUCUCUUGUUAUAUAAUUCAGAUAAAAUCUUCAACAUAUGUUCACUUUUAAAUUGGUAUGACUUUACCUCUUCCUCAUUCUCACUCAACAUUCUCGUUGAGUACUAAAUUCUUUCGGAGCCUGGCUGCUCAUGGAAGGGCUUGAUAACUCUUUCUGAGAUGUGGGUACAGAGUUCAAUUUUUCUGGAGACUGCUUAUUUAUUUAUUUAUUUAGAGACAAGGUCUCAUAUAGCUGUUUGUUUAUCUAUCUAUCUAUCCAUCCAUCCAUCCAUCCAUCCAUCCAUCCAUCCAUCUAUCUAUCUAUCUAUCUAUCUAUCUAUCUAUCUAUCUAUCUAUCUAUUUAUAGACAGGGUCUCAUAUAGCUCAGACUGGCCACAAAUUUGCUUAUGUAGUUGACCUUCUGAUUUUCCUGCCUGUCUCAUGAGUGUUGGGAUUAGAGGCACAAGUCACAUAAAUGGUCAGUUUCUCUUCUGCAAGAUGUGAGGGAUGCUGACUUUGAAGGCUUUUUUUUUCUCACUCUGAAAUGGUAAAUAGCCACAAUCAAAUGCUAUGGGAAGCACCUCGGCUUGCUUUUGAAUUGUAUGGCUUCAGUUUGGCUGUUUGAAUGGCUAAAAAGGCACUUCUUGGUUCUGUGUGCCUGGGCUCUUCUAUGAGAUUCCCACUCACACUGGACAGACUGUCAGUUUUAGGUCGUUUGGUUUCAUUCCUGCUGGCUCGAACCGUUCUUCAAGGUAUGUUAGAAACUGAUACAUUUUUGGUUAAACAAGAACAUAUUUAAAUCCUAGGCAUUGUGAAGAUUAUUAAAACUUACUUCUUGGGGCUGGAUUGGUGGGUCAGCUGUUAGGAGCACUGAUGCUCUUGCCGAGUACCUAUGUUCAAUCCCCAGCAUCCACAUGGCAGCUCACAACCGUCUGUAACUCCAGUCUCAGGAGAUCCAAAUGCAUGAGGGACACAGACAUCCAUGUUGGCAAACAGACAACACACACACACACACACACACACACACACACACACACACACACACACAAACACACAACAAGACAAAACAUCACACACACACACUCAAAUAAAAAAAAAACACCUAGUUUCUUCUUCAAGUGCUUUUAAAGCCCAUAAAAUAAUUUUGACUAUUAACUAUGGGUCUUUAAAAGUAGCACCAGAAAUUAACAGUACACUCAGUUUCUUAUUGGUUUCAUUCUAAAAUAGGGUUCAAGCAAAAAAUAACAUGAAAUAGGUGGAGAUUUCCCAUCUAUGAAAGAUCUACCUCCCAACCAAUAGAGACCCCGACAGUUAAGAUUUAGCAGUUUGGUGUCUUUGAAUACAAGUUUUUACUUUCAAAGUAUUUUGCAUCUGCUACUCUGUUGUGUUUUAAGAGCCUGGCAGCUGUUUUCACUUUUGGAUGAAGCCCCAAGAGGUUAAGAGGCUUCAAUCAGGGUCCCACACCUGUUAAUGAAAGACUCAAAGCUCGUCUGUGCUCCGACCCCCUAAUCCCCAUCUCCUCAGCCGGCGCCAUCUUCCUUCCAUUAGUGAGGAAUGAAGACCUUCUUUAAUCAGCCUCUGCCUCCUGAAAGAUAUUAAAGUAUACGAUUUCUAAGAAGAAGAAGAAGAAAAAAAAACUAACAGAAAAGGAACAAGAUUGGAAAAUAUUUACACCAGAGAGAAUACAAAAUGGCAAUGUGAAACUCUAGGGCCACGCAGACGUCAAGGACCACACUUGGAGCGAGGGGCUCUCGGCUGCCUCUUCUGCAUCUUCUAGAGUCUAGACUGAGUUGGUGAGACUCCUGCUUGCCUGUGUUGCUGUAGGCAGUGAAUGGUUCCUCUUGGUAUUUCUAGACCUUUCCCAGAUGCCUUUGGUUAGCGUGCUUACUCACCGAUCUCCCCACAUCUCCCUCAAGCAGUGGUUCUCAACCUUCCUUAUGCUGUAACCCUUAAUACCGUUCCUCAUGUUGUGGUGACCGCCCCCACCAUAAAAGUAUUCAUUACUACUUCAUAACUGUAAUUUUGCUACUGUUAUGAAUCCUAAUGUAAAUAUCUGAUAUGCGACCCCUAGUGGGGUCAAGACCCACAGGUUGAGAACUGAGGCUCUCGUGGGUUCAUCUUUGACGUUUGGGACAUUGCUGUGGUUGGAGUCACUGCCCUCCCGUGGGUUUUCUGGGUGGGGUGGGGGUGGGGACUAGGAUCUCUCUCUCUCUCUCUCUCUUUCUUUUUUCUUUUGACAGUGUUGGGGGUUGAACCCAGGGCCUUGAGCAGGGUAAGCAAGCCCUCAACCACUGAGCUACAUACUCAGCCCAAAUAUGGUUAGCUGUUUUUCUUCCUUCUUUUCUUUUAGGGUCCUCUUACUUAAAAAAUGGUGCGCUUAUCUGGGCAGCAUGCCAAGUCACAUUUCAAAGAAGAAGUUAAUUUUCACGGUGAGGUUUUUCCAUUUGGAACAUUCCAGUUGCAGUGAACUUUGAUUCCCGUACUUUGUAAAACUGAGGGCUGGAACAGGGUCUGAUACUGAAGCCCCUGUUCUCUGGGAAGACCUUAGACCCGUGCCACACUUCUAGGGCUGGGGAGAGACCACACAGCCAGCCCUGCUGUGCCACGUUCAGUCGAGUUCUAAGUUGAAGCCCACCCCUGUCAGGUGGAGAGGAGGGAGCAGAGCAUUUCAAACAGCCGAGGUUGUGUAUUAGAUUAGCUGGGGACACAGUGUCCGCUGCAUUGUGACAUGCCGACCCUUAGCCACUAGGGGUCCCUAUGGCCGCUUAACCUGGAAGUUAUUCAACAGAGGAAAGCCAAGAGUUUGUCUCUGACCUGGAGUAUGCAGGCAUUGGCCAAAGGAACCAAAGGAACCACUGAUAACCGGAAAUCAACGUCAGAAAUGGAAAGGGAGACCCAGCAGAGAGCCCGGGGUUUUGAACUAGCACCUGAUAAUGGUGAGUAACGUAACGUGUGGGUGCCCUUGAAAAGGGCCCAGUCCUGGAAGUUGGAAUCUGUCGGCAAAGCGCUUUCCUGUGUCAACACAAAAAAUGAACCAACUUUCAACGUAUCCAAGGGGACUGAAAAUGAAGUUGGGGGCACCAGGAAAAGAGGAAAAAGUCAAAAAGAAGAAUAUGAUAAAACAAUGGUUGAGAUGAUCAGAAUAAAACGAGAGAAAGAAAGACGAGAAUUUAAGGCAUCGGGAAAGGCGAAGAGGGGCUGGCAAGUGGGAAACCGGGAGCUGUGCCCCAGAUUUAAGAUGGGCAUGGAGAGUCCAACAUCCCAACUCACCAAGUCCAUGAUUGUUCACCAUGGAAGUGAAACCCUGGGUCAAAUACUACACCAAGUGCACCAAGUAGGAAAAAGAGCGGUUCAGCGAGGCGGAAGCUGUGUAGCGUCCAGACGCUUCUAUAAGCAGCUGGGAAGAUCAGUCUGGGGCACCGGGUCCUGUGCAGUUCCUCUGGGUACAGAGGGACUGAGGGGGAACAUCACCUUUCUCUUGGUGUUCUUUGCCUGGUGGAAUGGCGUUUUGGCUAACUCACUGAAGUAGGAUGCAAGGCUCCAUGUCUGUCUUAGAAAGCAAGCUCUCAGACACAUGGAAUCGCGAAGUCUUUUCCCAGUGGUAACCAGAGACAUCAAGUGCGACUUCGUGCUUGGUGAAGUCUAGUCUAGUCCUGCAGGCUUGCAGACCCGAGUUGGUGAAGAAAAGCCACGGUGGGAGGCACAAGACUUCUGCCCGAAAGGGCCUCGUUUUUCAAUAUUGUGAGGCAGAGUUUGAGUCCAGGGCCGUGGGAUGCCAACAAAAGCCAUCAGGGCUCUAAGUUAUCAGUCAACAGCUUUCCCAGUAUCGUGCCUGGGCAAGGGGCUCACGUGACCCCUGCUUUACCGCGGUCUGCAUCCAAUCGUAUUCCCAGAAACGUCACUCUGUCCCAUACGGACCAGUAGCAACACCUCUCCUUGCCCCAGAAAGCACAGGUGAAUGUCUCAACAAUUUCACCAAGCCACUUACACAUUUUCUUCACUGUAGAGCGCAUGCGCAGAGCUCUAAGGGUGGUGGGUGCCAGGGACUCUGUGGAAUCCCAGUGGAGACACUGAGAGUUCUUCAUAGGGGACGCGAUGGCCACAGAGCUCGCUUGUUUUAUUUUUGUUCAAGUUAUAAACCAGAGAGUUGGGUUUUUAAGUAAAAGAACCAUUGUUCCCUUGGUCGCUUUAUCAGAGACCUAAUCCCAGAUCUCAGCAGCCUGUGCUCUGAAGGGACACUAGGUGCAUUCCCAGCAAAAGCGAAGGACACAUCUGGAAGCAUUCUGCGAGGCUUUUCCAGCAUGAGGGACAGUUGCCCCUGUUCACAACCCUCCAUCAUGCUUUGGUGGGCAAGCGGGCGGCCAUCAGUGGAGGCCUGAGCCCAGCAGAGAACGGCUUUAAACCUGAAGGCACGGGUGCUUGCGUGGCUCUGAACAGUGAAACUCGCAGGCACAAGGAAAAACAUGAAUGAAACCAGCUGAAAAGUUCCUGAAUAUGACAUCCGGUGUUACUUUUUCAUUUAAGCUCUGCUUGAAGUCGGCCACCCUCCUCUGCGGAGAUAGAGUCACAGACCCGGAGCCUGUUUCCGUGGGAACUAAAUUAAAACCCUACAGGAAAAGUCUAGACUCCGCUUUUAAUCACGAAGCCAAAACAAAGAAAAGGCGGAGCGCCUCUUCACCACCAAUCCAAGGCUUAGAACAGAGACUCAGUGUAAAGCUAGGACCAGCGACCGGUUUUCUCUUUGAUGGGGGAAAGAAUUGCAAUAGAUCUGUCAGAGUCUGUCUAAAGGCAAGGGACCAGGAAAACAGGCAAGGUCAGAUAGCCUUCAGACAUAGCUUCUCCCUCUCCAGGAAACCUUGCAGAGCCAUCGGAGGCAUGGAGGCUGAUCUGCAAGAAGUGUGGUGGUGGUGGUGGAGGGCCUGGGGGAGGGAAUAGAGGCCUGAAGUGAUGGGCCUGGAGGCAGGGGAUAGAUCCAAGUGGUCUGGGGGUGAGACGACAGAAUCGGAAAGUGAAAAAACAAAAUAAAAUGUGCCAAGGAGACGCUAGGAUGAGCCGAGAAACCAGCAGGGGCUACUGGUGGGGAGCAGAGGCGGAGCUAGUGAGUGCGAGGGCGAAGGGACCAUUUGAACUGAGGACCCGGGCGGGCUCCAUCUUCCUUUCCAGGAGGUGUGUGUGUGGGGGGGUGUUGCUGAGUGUUUUGGAAACCAUUUGGCGGAGGUCCAGAACGGAGCAGGAAGGUUCAAGCCCUCCCAGCUCUCUCAUAGUCCAUUCCCUCGAAGCAAGGAGCAAACCACAGAGCUCUGCCUGGACGUCAAACUGUGGAGUCCAGGUCCCCGUCCGCUCAGGAGGGGUCUUGAGUGUGGGCCAGGGAGCGCUUUUGUGGUAAAGCACCAGGGUGUGUAUGCACUUCUGCAGGGGCAGCUGUGAAGGGGGUGUCGUGUUUCACUCCAGGGCACUCAGUACCAAGUGGCCUCAAAGGAGGUUUAGCGGAUGACAGCGGAUUCAGAGGAAGACCGUCCAAAGCACCAGGGAAAAGUGACUUUGCCUGAAUGUCGACACAGAAAUCACAGGAACACAGGAUGCACCACAAACUGGAUUCAAGUGAACGUUUUCUUCUUUUACGCACAAGACCCACUGGCUGAAGUGAAAAGGAAAAUCAAAACCCUAUGGACAUUUAUGGAAUUUAGUUUCAGAAAGCAACUUCACAGGGGCCAGUCCAUCCUCAUGUCCUACCUAGAACUGGCCCUGUUAUUUCUACAGCCCAGUUACUCAACAUCCAAAUGGCUCAUCCCUCAAGGUCCUCCGCAGGUGUGAGGGGGAACCUCUUUGAACCUAAUUUCACCAGGAAAUUUAGUGACCCUUCCUCGAUGAUUCUAGUUAAAUCAAGCUCGUCUCCAAAAAAGGAAGCUUUUUCCCUCCCUCUAAACACAAGAGCUUGCGUCUACUGCCCAGCCCCUCGGCAUAGCUCUUUCCAUUUUUCUCAUGCUUUUCCAGAGCUCAUCGUUUGUCAUUGAAGGCGGGCAGCCUGUGCAGAUGACGAAGUUGGUACUCAGACUGUGUGGAAGGCUCUUGGCCAGUGUCCCCCAGACAGCAAGCUGCUGGGUUCAACACAGAGACUUAAUUACCAGGGACCACAUUCUCAGUGGCCAGAGUCUCAGGGACGUUUACUUUGGCAGACGCCCCCCCUAAAAACAGUCUUUGGAAUGAGUGGAGUGCAAGUAAAAAUGUCUCUU